Molecule: long non-coding RNA, 749 nt
Filed under: Vulpes vulpes (red fox)
Lineage: Eukaryota; Metazoa; Chordata; Mammalia; Carnivora; Canidae
Description: lncRNA (ENSVVUG00000019960.1)
Source: RNAcentral
AUGCCCGGGAGCAGCGAUCAGCAAUCAGAAGUGGCCCUUAGUUAUCACUUCAUGACACCCAGAGCUAAGAUGGAACGUCUGUGCCAGGACUUAAUGAUCACCUGUUUCUCAAGAAGACAGCUACAGCAGCUAGAAUGAGCCCUAUGAUUCAGUGAGUGUGAGCCCAAGAGAGCUGGAAUAUCACAUUUCCUUGGGAAAAUCACUCCAAACUCAUCUUAGCAGCUCUACCUCAACCAAUAAUCCUGUUUAUCAAGAUAGCAGUGCCUUCAUCAACAAUUAAUUGAUUUGCUUAAGUUGAAGUAAUGAAUGAUCAGUCUCCCAUGGCUUCUCUCCAGUUCUCAAUCUCUCCUGAUCAGAACUGACAUAUCAAUGUAAUGAACGGCCUCUGUUCUCUUGUCUUCCAGCCAUAGAAAACACCACCACUUCCAAUUAAAUUCUACAUGAUUUAUAGAAACCCACAAGCUCACUUGCCUUAAUUCUUCCUUCUUCUGCUCUUGUGAUCCUAUUAAAUUUCUUCCUUAAAAUCUAGUGCUCCUUACUUUGAAAUGGUGUGGGUUGUCUGCAAAAAAUUUGGAAAAAAGAAUGGGCUAAAGGAAAUCUGAAAAAUAGUAAUAGCUUCCUAUCACUUAACGAGCAGUACCAUGUUCCCAAAAAAAGGCACUGUACACUUUAGUGAGGAGUGUAUUCAUUACCUUAGUAAAUCCUACAAAUCUCUAUAAUCCCCCCUUGAAAAAGGGCAGAUUGUCCCU